GAUGAACGCUGGCGGCGUGCCUAAUACAUGCAAGUCGAGCGAACGAACGAGAAGCUUGCUUCUCUGAUGUUAGCGGCGGACGGGUGAGUAACACGUGGAUAACCUACCUAUAAGACUGGGAUAACUUCGGGAAACCGGAGCUAAUACCGGAUAAUAUUUUGAACCGCAUGGUUCAAAAGUGAAAGACGGUCUUGCUGUCACUUAUAGAUGGAUCCGCGCUGCAUUAGCUAGUUGGUAAGGUAACGGCUUACCAAGGCAACGAUGCAUAGCCGACCUGAGAGGGUGAUCGGCCACCCUGGAACUGAGACACGGUCCAGACUCCUACGGGAGGCAGCAGUAGGGAAUCUUCCGCAAUGGGCGAAAGCCUGACGGAGCAACGCCGCGUGAGUGAUGAAGGUCUUCGGAUCGUAAAACUCUGUUAUUAGGGAAGAACAUAUGUGUAAGUAACUGUGCACAUCUUGACGGUACCUAAUCAGAAAGCCACGGCUAACUACGUG
This 497-nucleotide ribosomal RNA is filed under the name uncultured bacterium. Its description in RNAcentral is "partial 16S ribosomal RNA". It matches the Rfam family "Bacterial small subunit ribosomal RNA", at positions 28 to 507 of the family's 1533-position model. The record is from RNAcentral.